Molecule: transfer RNA, 68 nt
Filed under: Cuniculus paca (Lowland paca)
Lineage: Eukaryota; Metazoa; Chordata; Mammalia; Rodentia; Cuniculidae
Description: tRNA-Phe
Source: RNAcentral
UUAAUGUAGCUUACCAGACAAAGCAAGGCACUGAAAAUGCCUAGACGGACCCAGCAGUCCCAUAAACA